AUCUCCUCCAACCUCAUCUACUGUAUCCAUUGUUCAAGAUGCAGUCUUUUAUACAUCGGUGACACUAAACAUGGAAUGGGCGAUCGUUUCGAUGAACACCUUCGCUCAGUCUGCAUCGAC
This is a long non-coding RNA of Amblyraja radiata (thorny skate), 120 nucleotides long. RefSeq lists it as uncharacterized. The transcript is spliced from 3 exons. The record is from RefSeq and is a predicted model, not a curated record. NCBI's taxonomy places the organism in Eukaryota, Metazoa, Chordata, Chondrichthyes, Rajiformes, Rajidae.